UCCACAGGGUGCAAUCCUUGAGGAACAGACUGCUCCAGCACGGCCCCACUGCAGGGUCACAAGCCCUGCCAACAAACCUGCUCCAGUGGGGGCUUCACAAAGCUUCCUUCUAGCACCCAUCUCUUCCACGUGGGCUUCUCCAUGGGCUGCAGGUGGAACUCUGCUCCAUUGUGGCCCUCCACGGGCUGCAGAGCACAGCUGCCUCAGCCUUGUCUUCACCACAGGCUGCCAAUCUCAGCUCCAACAUCUGGAGCAUCUUCUCCAUCUCCUUCUUCCCUGACCUUGGUGUCUGCAGGGCUGCUUCUCUCCUCUCUCCAGUUGCAAUUGUGCAGCUUUUUCCCCUCCUUAACUCUCAUCCCAGAGGCGCUGCCACCAUCGCUGGUGGCUUUGGCUUGGAUCCAUCCUGGAGUCAGACAAGGGAAGCUUCUGGCAGCUUCUGACAGAAGCCACCCUGAAGCCAAACCCUUGACAAGCAAACCCAGUACACUCAUUUGCCACUCACAUGACAAUCUGAAUCCUGCAGCUGUCAGGCCUGUAUAUACUUUACUAACAUACCUCAACAGACUAGGUUUUUGUUCUUCAAAAUUGUUAAAAUCACAUUAAAUCUAACUUCACCACAA
Molecule: long non-coding RNA, 620 nt
Organism: Oenanthe melanoleuca
Lineage: Eukaryota; Metazoa; Chordata; Aves; Passeriformes; Muscicapidae
Exons: 2
Source: RefSeq, a predicted model, not a curated record